CCCUUAGAUGUCCUGGGCCGCACGCGCGCUACACUGAGUGUCUGAGAUACGAGUCUGCCUGGUCCGGCAAGGUCUAGGUAAUCGCUAAAAGACACAUCAUGCUUGGGAUAGAUUAUUGCAAAUAUUAAUCUUGAACGAGGAGUUCCUAGUAAGCGCAAGUCAACAGCUUGCGUUGAUUACGUCCCUGCCCUUUGUACACACCGCCCGUCGCUACUACUGAUUGGAUGUUUAAGCGAGGUUCUCGAACUGCUAGCGACUUAGCUUCGGUGAGGUCGCAGUGUGGGAAGUGAACCUAGCUUUGGUGUCUAGAGGAAGUAAAAGUCGUAACA
Molecule: ribosomal RNA, 329 nt
Filed under: uncultured eukaryote
Lineage: Eukaryota
Description: partial 18S ribosomal RNA
Rfam family: Eukaryotic small subunit ribosomal RNA
Source: RNAcentral